RNAcentral lists this ribosomal RNA (434 nucleotides) under uncultured bacterium. RNAcentral describes it as "partial 16S ribosomal RNA". It matches the Rfam family "Bacterial small subunit ribosomal RNA", at positions 29 to 507 of the family's 1533-position model. The record is from RNAcentral.
AGCGAACGCUGGCGGCAGGCUUAACACAUGCAAGUCGAACGGGCAUAGCAAUAUGUCAGUGGCAGACGGGUGAGUAACGCGUGGGAACGUACCUUUUGGUUCGGAACAACACAGGGAAACUUGUGCUAAUACCGGAUAAGCCCUUACGGGGAAAGAUUUAUCGCCGAAAGAUCGGCCCGCGUCUGAUUAGCUAGUUGGUAGGGUAAUGGCCUACCAAGGCGACGAUCAGUAGCUGGUCUGAGAGGAUGAUCAGCCACAUUGGGACUGAGACACGGCCCAAACCCCUCGGGAAGCCGCCAGUGGGGAUUAUUGACAAUGGGCGAAAGCCUGAUCCAGCCAUGCCGCGUGAGUGAUGAAGGCCCUAGGGUUGUAAAGCUCUUUUGUGCGGGAAGAUAAUGACGGUACCGCAAGAAUAAGCCCCGGCUAACUUCGUG